UCAACCCAUUGUGACCUUACCUAUGUUCUGUUGCCUCGGCGGCGCGGUCAGCGCCCGAAAGGACGACGGCCCCCGCCGGCAGCACCAAACUCUUGAAUUUUACAGCGGAUUACAGUUCUGAUUUGAAACAAAAAAAAAACAAGUUAAAACUUUCAACAACGGAUCUCUUGGUUCUGGCAUCGAUGAAAAACGCAGCGAAAUGCGAUAAGUAAUGUGAAUUGCAAAAUUCAGUGAAUCAUCGAAUCUUUGAACGCACAUUGCGCCCGGCAGUAAUCUGCCGGGCAUGCCUGUCCGAGCGUCAUUUCAACCCUCGAACCUCUGUUUCCUCAGGGAAGCUCAGGGUCGGUGUUGGGGCGCUACGGCGAGUCUUCGCGACCCCCGUAGGCCCUGAAAUACAGGGGCGGUCCCGCCGCGGUUGCCUUCUGCGUAGUAAGUCUCUUUUGCAAGCUCGCAUUGGGUCCCGGCGGAGGCCUGCCGUCAAACCACUAUAACUCCAGAUGGUUUGACCUCGGAUCAGGUAGGGUUACCCGCUGAACUUAA
RNAcentral lists this ribosomal RNA (540 nucleotides) under Scedosporium boydii. Its description in RNAcentral is "eukaryotic LSU rRNA". The stretch from base 148 to 301 matches the Rfam family "5.8S ribosomal RNA". Lineage: Eukaryota; Fungi; Ascomycota; Sordariomycetes; Microascales; Microascaceae. The record is from RNAcentral.